AGUCAUGACAUUUUUUGAAAAUGUAUACCAGCUAAACAAAUAUGGAAAUCAGUGUGUGACUGGAAAAAAAGAACCGCCGAGGGUGGCGUCGGUGGGAAAAUGUCCACACAAGACGGCGCGGCGUAGAACGAACGAGAAUAUGGGCGGGCAGGACGGCGGGUUCGGUAAAAUAAGAACUGUGUGAGAAAUAUACACGGGAAAACUAUGAUAACAAUUCAAAG
This is a non-coding RNA of Caenorhabditis elegans, 221 nucleotides long. The record is from Ensembl. Lineage: Eukaryota; Metazoa; Nematoda; Chromadorea; Rhabditida; Rhabditidae.